UAGCUCAGUUGGUAGAGUGCUUGCCUUGCAUGCACAAGGCCCUGGGUUCAAUCCCCAG
Molecule: non-coding RNA, 58 nt
Organism: Ictidomys tridecemlineatus (thirteen-lined ground squirrel)
Lineage: Eukaryota; Metazoa; Chordata; Mammalia; Rodentia; Sciuridae
Source: Rfam